RNAcentral lists this microRNA precursor (90 nucleotides) under Aotus nancymaae (Ma's night monkey). RNAcentral's name for it is "miRNA (ENSANAG00000010912.1)". The record is from RNAcentral. Lineage: Eukaryota; Metazoa; Chordata; Mammalia; Primates; Aotidae.
UAUUCUACUGGGCAUAUAUAUCAUUACAUAUAUGGUCUUUGUAUGUAUGAUCAGAUCAUUAUAUGUAUGAUCUGGACACCCAGUAGAAUC